AGCGGUGAAAUGCGUAGAGAUCUGGAGGAAUACCGGUGGCGAAGGCGGCCCCCUGGACAAAGACUGACGCUCAGGUGCGAAAGCGUGGGGAGCAAACAGGAUUAGAUACCCUGGUAGUCCACGCCGUAAACGAUGUCUACUUGGAGGUUGUGCCCUUGAGGCGUGGCUUCCGGAGCUAACGCGUUAAGUAGACCGCCUGGGGAGUACGGCCGCAAGGUUAAAACUCAAAUGAAUUGACGGGGGCCCGCACAAGCGGUGGAGCAUGUGGUUUAAUUCGAUGCAACGCGAAGAACCUUACCUGGUCUUGACAUCCACAGAAGAAUCCAGAGAUGGAUUUGUGCCUUCGGGAACUGUGAGACAGGUGCUGCAUGGCUGUCGUCAGCUCGUGUUGUGAAAUGUUGGGUUAAGUCCCGCAACGAGCGCAACCCUUAUCCUU
This 436-nucleotide ribosomal RNA is filed under the name Salmonella enterica subsp. enterica serovar Infantis. RNAcentral's name for it is "bacterial SSU rRNA". It matches the Rfam family "Bacterial small subunit ribosomal RNA", at positions 677 to 1112 of the family's 1533-position model. The record is from RNAcentral. Lineage: Bacteria; Pseudomonadati; Pseudomonadota; Gammaproteobacteria; Enterobacterales; Enterobacteriaceae.